RNAcentral lists this unclassified non-coding RNA (65 nucleotides) under Pseudomonas borbori. The record is from RNAcentral. Lineage: Bacteria; Pseudomonadati; Pseudomonadota; Gammaproteobacteria; Pseudomonadales; Pseudomonadaceae.
CGGGAUGGGCGAACAGAAGUCAGCCGAGGCCGUAGUAGUUGCUCGAAACUGGAGUGACGAAGGGC